RNAcentral lists this long non-coding RNA (3771 nucleotides) under Mus musculus (house mouse). Its description in RNAcentral is "long non-coding RNA chr2:92217107-92220878". The record is from RNAcentral. Lineage: Eukaryota; Metazoa; Chordata; Mammalia; Rodentia; Muridae.
GUUUAGAGCUUCCCUGCAGGUCUUAGCAGAGGCCCAGUGGUUGUGGCUUCAUGCAAGACUGUUCAGGGCAAUAACAGCCCCAUUAGAGAAUUUGAGAAGGUUUUUUAAUUUUAUUUUUCAUUUUAAAAUUAUUUUUAUUAGUUUGGGUACAUGAGUGUUUUGUGUGCAUGUACGUCUGUGCACCAAAUACAUGCCUGUUGUGUGAGGAAGGAACGAGCCUCCAUGAGAAUGCUGGGAAUCAAACCUGGGUCCUGACUCAAACACUGAGCCAAAUCUCCAGCCUGAGAAUUUAACAAGUUUGAUUCAAAGUUAAAGCUUGAAGAAGUAUGUCAAUAUCUCUAAACUUGGUUAUUCACAAAAAAAUCCUUUUCUGAGACCUUCACUUGAUUCAGCCCUCACAACAGUCCUGCCACAGGUGACAGGAACCCCAUUUCCCAGAGGAUAAUGAAUGAAUGGCUUUGUUUUGUUUUGUUUUGUUUUGUUCUGGGGGAGGCAGUAAAUGGUCUUUCUUCACCAUCUAGCUACGCUUUUAUUGAGUGAGAUCUGAUAAUUGUUUUGUUGGUUUUUGUUUUGUUUUGUUUUGUGCAUGUGUGUGCAUGUGUGUGUGUGUUUUGAGACAAUGCUUCUUACAGUUCACUUUGGCCUUGAACUUACUGAGUAGCUAAAGAUAACCUUAAACUCCUGAUCCUUGUGCCUUCACCUCCCAGAUGUUACGAUAGCAUGUACCUUGCUAUCUGGCUGGUUUCUGCUCUGUUUUGCUUUGUAGCUUGAGAGGCUAUUAGGUUACCUGGUGCUUUAGUGUGUACAGCAUGGAAGGCAGAAGGUUGGUAUGUUGUGCUAGGCUGCCCUCAGUGAUUGAGGGAUGCAGAGAUAUUGGAUAGAAAAUGUCUAUUAUUAUCUUGUGUGUUUGUUUAUAGUCACCUUUCAGUAACUGAUUUGUUUUAUAUACACACACCCCUUAUUAGAAUUGGAAAAAUACAAUAAAUUAUCUCUCAUACCUUUCUGCGGCUGCCUAGAUGGCUCAGCAGGUAAAGGCCCUUGCCACCAUGCCUGAGGACUGUUUGAUCCCCAGAACCCACAUGGUGAACAGAAGCAAUAUCUUCACAUUGUCCUCAGAAUUCCACACACCCUCCAUGUAAUACAUGCCCCUCCCAGUAAAUAAACACUAUCUUAAAAAGAUUUAAAAAGUAAUGAUGUCCUGUGAAGCUGCAUACAGUCUCUAAAUAAUGCUGCAUACACUAAGAUCCCCAUGUAUUUUAAAGGCUUCAAUAUGUGUGGCUUGUGUUUGAAAAUUAUUUCUUAUGUAUUUUAACUAUAUGUAUAAACUAAUCUCUCUCUUUUUAAAAAGAUUUAUUUAUUGUUAUAUGUAAGGCACUGUAGCUGUCUUCACACACACCAGAAGAGGGCAUCAGAUCUCAUUAUGGAUGGUUAUGAGCCACCAUGUGGUUGCUGGGAUUUGAACUCAGGACCUUAGGAAGAGCAGUCAGUGCUUUUAACCACUGAGCCAUCUCACCAGCCAUAGACUAAUCUCUUAAGACAGUUGUCCAGAAAGAGACCUUUCGGAUGAAGGAUUUCAAAAUUAUCUUCCAGUCCUCAUAAGUUUCUCCGUGACCAGUCUUAUAUGAAACAAAAUCCGUAAUUGGCAUUUAAAUGCCUUUGUAUAUGUGUAGUAAGAGGACAACACCCCGAUGGAGGAAGUAAAAGCUGUCAGCGCCUCAUUAGCUUGACUGGCAGGCAUGUUGUACCAAGCACACUUUGACAUUUAGAGUCUCCAGGUUAGAACCUUGUUUUUCCUCUUGAACUCUUCCUCCCUUCCCUCCUCCCUUCUCCCUUCCCACUACCCUGCUUCUCUCCCCUCCCUUCCCUUCCCUUCCCCCUUUCCUUCCUUCCUUCCUUCCUUCCUUCCUUCCUUCCUUCCUUCCUUCCUUCCUUCCUUUCUUUCUUUCUUUCUUUCUUUCUUUCUUUCUUUCUUUCUUUCUUUCUUUCUUUCUUUCUUUCUUGGAGACAGGAUAUCCUGUAGCCUAGGCUGUACUCAAAGUCACCAUAUAGCUCCGAGGCUGGCUUUGGCCUUUGGUCUCCUCCUCCUGAGUGCUGGGAUCACAGGAAUGUGUCACCACACUCAGCUACGUUUUUUUCUAAUGAGGUUAUUUGUUUUGUUUUAUUUUGUUUUUGUGGGUUUUUUUCUUUUAUGUUAUAAAACUUCCUGAUGUUUUAUUAAUUCUCAUUUAUUUUUUCUUAGUUGAAAGGAGAUGUGCGUUGUCUAUGGAAAAGUUUGAAAAUACUGAUACUCCCCAAAAGAAGAAAGUUUAAUAGCUCUUAGUCCUUUCACCUACAAAUGACUUUAGCAGAUUAUGAAGUGCCAUCAGACCCACCCUUGGCAGCUUAGAGGUGGUCAUUAUGCAUCUUGUGCAUUACAGGCAAAACCUACCUUAUUAAAUUCAUGUUCCUAUCGUGAGUGCAGACUGGUUCCUCAAAGUCAUUGUUCAGUCUGUCAAUAAAAUUUUCCUAGUAUAUUCAUGUUAAUGUUGUUUCAUAGAGGAAUUCUCAUUCAUGUGUGUCCAGUACUUUGACUUAAUUCAAACUUUUUGUUGAUCACUCUUAUGUCUUAUGAAAAUUGGUUUUCUGUACAUUUUUGUUAGCCUAGACUGUAUGAACAGUGUUAACCUGAUGUGGCGGGUGCUGUAAGGUCUCCAUGUCAGUGACCUGCCUGUUUCCAGAGUUAGAGUUCAAUUGAGCUCUACUGAGAUGUGUCAUCAACAGUUCAAUAAAAUAGGCCUUUCUGAUUUUGAACAUGCUCUUGCAGCAGGAUUAUCCUUCACAUACAAAGAAUUUUAGGAAAUCUUUUUAGACACAUUUUCUGAUAGAACUUUGCAAAAAUUAAGAUCACACGGUUUUUAAAACUACAAACUGGGUAUGGUAGGUCACAUUUAUAAUCCCAGCACUCAGGAGGCCAAGGUAGGAGGAUUGUGAGUUCAAGACCAGGCUGGGCUCUAUAGGAGGUUCAAGGCAAGUCUGGACCACACAGUGGGACCCUGCAGAACAGAACUGUCAGGUAUAGUGAAGAGUUUGAGAAGGGAGAUUACUUCUGCACUUAACAUUGAAGUGGCUGUUAUAGUUUUCAGAUUAGCAGUUGCAAAUGUGCAUGACCAUAGAAGCCUUGCUUUCCAUGAGUUACUAAUGAUUCUGGUAUUCGUUAUAAUUCCAAACAGUUUUUAGGAUAGUAAGUGGCUGAAAUUCAUGAUAUAUCUCCUUUUAAAAAUUAUUUCCCCUAAAUAUCCUGCCUGUAUGAAUUUUUAUGAUUACCAGUAAAUCUUUGCCAGCUUCUAGAGAUGUAACUUUGAAAGAAUUUUGCACUUUGAGAAUUCAAUCUUUUUUAGGUUAGAAUAUUCUGAUUUUACAUAACAUAGUGUAUAAACCCUAGAGGAGAGAUUGUCAUUGAUGUUUUAAACCCAGAGAGAUUAAGUAAAUAUAAUGAAAACUAGAAAUCCUAAGAAUAUACUUUUUAGCUAACGAUUCCAUCAGGCUCUGUGAGCUUAAUCUUACAAAAGGCUUCGGGACGCUCAGGCUGAGGACUGUAUGUGGUUGCUGGAGAACCUGGUGGUUGUGAGUCUUCUAGUCAGGUACUGGUUUUCCUUCCUCAGUAUUAAAAGGCAGUGCUAGCUAAGCUCUCAUAGGUAUAAGGAAGAAAACAGAUUUUUAAUAACGUUUAAAUUUAUUCAGACAAAAAAUGCUUUUGCUUUAAUAAAUAACCCCAAAUCAUGGUCACAUUUU